UACAGAGGGGGCGAGCGUUGUUCGGAAUUACUGGGCGUAAAGAGCUCGUAGGUGGUUUGUCACGUUGUUCGUGAAAACCCACAGCUCAACUGUGGGCGUGCGAGCGAUACGGGCAGACUAGAGUACUGCAGGGGAGACUGGAAUUCCUGGUGUAGCGGUGGAAUGCGCAGAUAUCAGGAGGAACACCGGUGGCGAAGGCGGGUCUCUGGGCAGUAACUGACGCUGAGGAGCGAAAGCGUGGGGAGCGAACAGG
Molecule: ribosomal RNA, 253 nt
Filed under: uncultured bacterium
Lineage: Bacteria
Description: partial 16S ribosomal RNA
Rfam family: Bacterial small subunit ribosomal RNA
Source: RNAcentral